RNAcentral lists this ribosomal RNA (482 nucleotides) under uncultured bacterium. Its description in RNAcentral is "partial 16S ribosomal RNA". It matches the Rfam family "Bacterial small subunit ribosomal RNA", at positions 30 to 507 of the family's 1533-position model. The record is from RNAcentral.
AUUGAACGCUGGCGGCAUGCCUUACACAUGCAAGUCGAACGGUAACGGGCCUUCGGGUCCCGACGAGUGGCGAACGGGUGAGUAAUACAUCGGAACGUGCCCGAUCGUGGGGGAUAACGAGGCGAAAGCUUUGCUAAUACCGCAUACGAUCUACGGAUGAAAGCAGGGGACCGCAAGGCCUUGCGCGGACGGAGCGGCCGAUGGCAGAUUAGGUAGUUGGUGGGAUAAAAGCUUACCAAGCCGACGAUCUGUAGCUGGUCUGAGAGGAUGAUCAGCCACACUGGGACUGAGACACGGCCCAGACUCCUACGGGAGGCAGCAGUGGGGAAUUUUGGACAAUGGGCGCAAGCCUGAUCCAGCCAUGCCGCGUGCAGGAUGAAGGCCUUCGGGUUGUAAACUGCUUUUGUACGGAACGAAAAGCCUUCUUUUAAUACAGGAGGGUCAUGACGGUACCGUAAGAAUAAGCACCGGCUAACUACGUG